AGUCGAACGGAGUACUUCGGUACUUAGUGGCGGACGGGUGAGUAACGCGUGAGGAUCUGCCCUCAGGAGGGGGACAACGACUGGAAACGGUCGCUAAUACCCCAUAUGCCGAGAGGUGAAAUGUUUUUUCGCCUGAGGAUGAGCUCGCGUCAGAUUAGCUAGUUGGUGGGGUAACGGCCUACCAAGGCGACGAUCUGUAGCUGGUCUGAGAGGAUGAUCAGCCACACUGGGACUGAGACACGGCCCAGACUCCUACGGGAGGCAGCAGUGGGGAAUUUUCCGCAAUGGGCGAAAGCCUGACGGAGCAAGACCGCGUGAGGGAUGACGGCCUAAUGGUUGUAAACCUCUUUUCUCUGGGAAGAUAAUGACGGUACCAGAGGAAUAAGCCUCGGCUAACUCCGUGCCAGCAGCCGCGGUAAUACGGAGGAGGCAAGCGUUAUCCGGAAUUAUUGGGCGUAAAGCGUCCGUAGGUGGUUAAUCAAGUCAGCUGUUAAAGAGCGGAGCUUAACUCCGUUAGAGCGGUUGAAACUGAUUGACUAGAGUUUGGUAGGGGUCGAGGGAAUUCCCAGUGUAGCGGUGAAAUGCGUAGAUAUUGGGAAGAACACCGGUGGCGAAAGCGCUCGACUGGGCCUGAACUGACACUGAGGGACGAAAGCUAGGGGAGCGAAAGGGAUUAGAUACCCCUGUAGUCCUAGCCGUAAACGAUGGAUACUAGGUGUUGCUCGUUAUCGACCCGAGCCGUGCCGAAGCAAGGGC
Molecule: ribosomal RNA, 756 nt
Filed under: cyanobacterium enrichment culture clone 1_RT_1.5.2_C12-T7
Lineage: Bacteria; Bacillati; Cyanobacteriota
Description: bacterial SSU rRNA
Rfam family: Bacterial small subunit ribosomal RNA
Source: RNAcentral